CAAUAGCGUAUAUUAAAGUUGUUGCAGUUAAAAAGCUCGUAGUUGGAUUUCUGGUUGAAGCGACCGGUCGGGCGUUGAUUCGUCUGCACUGGAGUCGGUUUUGGCCAUCCUCUAGGAAAGUGCGUCUGGUAUUAAGUUAUCGGGCGUAUGAUCCUGGUCUUUUACUGUGAAAAAAUUAGAGUGUUUAAAGCAGGCCUUCGCCUUGAAUACAUUAGCAUGGAAUAAUAAGAUAGGACUUUGGUCUAUUUUGUUGGUUUGCAGACCGAAGUAAUGAUUAAUAGGGAUAGUUGGGGGUACCUGUAUUGCGUUGUCAGAGGUGAAAUUCUUGGAUUUACGCAAGACAAACAGCUGCGAAAGCGUCUGCCAAGGAUGUUUUCAUUAA
This 382-nucleotide ribosomal RNA is filed under the name uncultured eukaryote. Its description in RNAcentral is "partial 18S ribosomal RNA". It matches the Rfam family "Eukaryotic small subunit ribosomal RNA", at positions 592 to 976 of the family's 1831-position model. The record is from RNAcentral.